CCUCCAAUACGACGGCAUACUCGACGCCUCCACCGCCGCCGCCGUCCCACUCCUCUUCUCCGUCGCUGGCUACCCGAAGACGUGUACCACCAUGGCCGGCGAGAGAAUCUCCCUCUCGUGCUGCCCCCUCUGAUCUCUCCUAUUUGAACCGAUGGCUCCAUGGCCUAUGGCUACCGAGGUGGAGUGCAGGAGCAGCGACUGGGAGUCUGGGACGAGGAUCUCCUGCCCGCAGCCCGGGGGUGGCGAGUUCGAAACGGAUUCGGUGACCACCUUCGAGGAUGGUCCUGCGGCCGCGGGUGGCGCCGUGGCGAGCGGCGACGCGACGGCGGCUCCGGUGUGUGUGUGGGGCGGGGGGGCGUACCAUUCUUACCAUGAGCUUGCUGCCCUUUUGACACGUCUUGCGUAGGAUCCCUCUAGUUUCGGUUGGUUCGCCUACUGAAUUUAGGGUUUUUUGGAUCCAUGCCAUUACAAUCUAACUAAUUCGUGGUGUUUCGGAUGAACAAAAAAAGAGAGAGAAUCUUAUAAGUCUAAUGGUCAAUCAUGUUCAUGCAGCUGAAGGCUAGUGGAGCAUUCUUAUCACCUGGAAAAUUGUUGAUGUGCUCCUCUUCCUAAUUCCUGCAAGGCCGCAACUGAUGGCUAUUGAUGUUAACGGCUCAUCGAUGCAUCAUACAUGUUGUUCAUCUGUUUCAGUUAGCUCUUUGGCAUCUAUACAUGUUUUUCUUGCAUUAAGGCAUACCGUUUCUAUCAUCUAGUUAUGAAAUGGCUUAGAUAACUCUUCGGCUUUGUGUUUUCAGUGGGAGACGACGUGUCCAUCGACAACGAAGUGCCCGUGACGACUUCGGGGUUUCUCUAGAUUUGCCGGCCAGUCUUCGGAGAUGCCAUAGGGUUUGCACGCGUGCGUUUUUAGGAGAGAGUGUGCGUGCAUUUGGAAUUUGCUGAGAUCACAUGAAUCAUACGACGGGCAGUUGCGGUGCCAGUAACUUCCACCAUGCACUGAUCAACCAGUGUCCAAUUCGAUCUCCACUGCAAUGCCAGAUUAAUUUGAACAGUGGCUAAAACUGACUCCAAUCCCAAUCCGGACUGGCGUCUCCACAAAGCCCCAUGGUUUCACGAUCAGGCUAGGCUCAUCUUGGCGUCUUCCUCCUCCCAAAACUCUGCAAUGGUAGGCGUGGGAUCAGUGGUGCUGCGGCUCUAGCUCUCAGUUUACAACUGGGUUGUCUUCUUCAGAUGGCUGGUUGUUCCACCUGCUGUUCUUGAGUUAUGGUGCCUGACAAAUGGAAUUUCUCCUUCGACUACUUCUAUGCAUCUGCUCUUUCCAUGCUGCUGUAUAUUCCAGGGUUUCCACACGUGUUCUUCUAUAUGGUGGCCCAGAGGAAGAAAGAAAGCCUUGUCAAAAGGCAAAAUUCGCAUGAUAUGCUCAACAUAUUUGGAGAUCGAAUUAUAUCCAUUAUCUAGUGCAAUUUAUGGAUGUAGCUAAUGGCUCACGUUUUCAUGGAUUGCUAACAGUAUGCUGUAGCAAGGACUAGCUGCUCCAUGUGUAACAAAAAAUGCACUGCCUGUUGUGAUUAAAAGCCUAAAAACCUGGUGAAUUUUAUGUUGAUUUUGUGCUGGUCAAGAACCAUGUUUAUCUACUGUUCUUAUCUGAAAAGGGCGAGAUGGAGUGAGAGUAAGAUCAGUUAAAGAGGAGCCAAUUGCAUCUCUCCAGAACUUGAUUUGCACUCUGCAGUUGGUAAGGUGUGCCUUUCUUCCUUUCUCCCUUUCAUCAACCGUCCAGUUGCUGAAAAGUUUGUCAAGUGAUUGAUGCCUCUCUUUUCUCCUGCUGUACUUUUCUCUCCGGUUACGUGUUGCCUUUCCAGAUUGUCCUCGCCAUCUA
Long non-coding RNA from Oryza brachyantha (malo sina), 1873 nucleotides. RefSeq lists it as uncharacterized. The transcript is spliced from 3 exons. The record is from RefSeq and is a predicted model, not a curated record. Lineage: Eukaryota; Viridiplantae; Streptophyta; Magnoliopsida; Poales; Poaceae.